RNAcentral lists this unclassified non-coding RNA (3528 nucleotides) under Ceratitis capitata (Mediterranean fruit fly). RNAcentral describes it as "ubiquitin thioesterase trabid, transcript variant X1". The record is from RNAcentral. Lineage: Eukaryota; Metazoa; Arthropoda; Insecta; Diptera; Tephritidae.
AGCUGUCAAAAUAUUGACGUAACAAAUUUGUGGUCCAUUUUCAUUUGCCCCAGUCGUUUAACAAUUUUUAUAUUUGUUGUAAUUCUGCAAAAAUUCCAAAAAAUAGAAAACACAAAUGAAUAUCAUGAAAUAAUAAAAUUCAAAGUUGAUAAAUAAAUUGUGCGGCACGUCGUUUUAAAGUGUGGAUGCGUGUUUAGCCUGCAAUUCUUCGUAUAACCAAAAGGGGCGGGAGUGUCCUCCAUCAUACAGUUAUCCAGAAGAAGUGUGAAGAAACAAUAUUAAUUGGUAUUUUUAAUACAUAUGCCAACGGUUGCAGUGUUCAAAGUACAUUUAUUUUUAAAGUUGCAAAUUAUAUUCUUAUUGGAUUUUUCAAGGUAUUAUAUGAAUUGAAUAAUACAACAAGUUACCUUGAAAUCUAAUAUCAUAAGCUGACCUUCAAGGAGUUUUCUGUGCUGUACUGUGAACUGUGGUUUUGUCAGACAAACCUUAAAACGCAGUUAGCUUUUGAGUUUUUUGAAGCUCCGAAGGUACUGUUGUUCCGGCUAAAGAAAUGUGCGAUUCAGAUGCCAGUAAAGUACAAAAGUGGAUAUGUGACUAUUGCACCUAUGAAAAUUUUCCCUCGUCACUGAAAUGCACCAUGUGCAAGGGUGCGAAACCACUUUUGAAUGAGGACAUCUUUCGAUUGAGUCCACCGCAAACUGCAUUCGAUGGUGAUGAGGAGCGUGGUGCCACAGCUGAUGUUGUUGAAGCUUCGAGCCUUAAUGCUUGCUUUUCACAAUCCCGACAAGAUGUACCCGCUACAACACCCGCCUCAGCAUCUCCAUCUGCUUGCGCUAAAUGGGCCUGCAAGAUGUGCACCUAUUUAAAUUGGCCACGCAGUUUACGUUGUGUACAAUGCUGCACUAAGCGAGGAACUGCUGUUACUGAUAUUAACGUUGAUCUACAUAUUUGCAAUGCAGAGGAAGCUGCCGCAGCUUCAUUGACAGCAACAGAAAACUUAGAUACAAUUGAUGGUACACAAAAUUAUAUGGAGAAAAAAGCAAAGAAUGAAGAUAGAAGCGAAACGCCGGCUAUAGUUCAUAUGUCAACAGCAUCGGCGAAUUCAUCGAACAAUCUUAAAGAUCAAUUGAAAGUUUUACGUAUCACUAAUGAUAUGGAAUUGAAUGCUAGUAAUUUAGCAGAAUCAAAUAGAUGUGAAGCAAGUGGUCACCCAGAACAAAUUCAUAAAAAACCGAGUAAUAGCUAUAUUCAAUCUGUUGGCGCCGCUUCAAGUAGACUAAACCCAUUUGAACAGUCGUCCAAUACCAAUAUGGUUGCUGCAACCACUAACACAACCAUUAAUACAACUCAUCUAAAUAAUCUUGCAAAUACUUCGCAGCACCAGAACCAGCAACAACAGCACAAUCAAUCGUCCACAUCUCUGCAAAACUGUUAUGUUGCCAAAUGGGCCUGUAAUACGUGUACUUAUGAAAACUGGCCAAAAAGUCUUAAAUGUUCCAUGUGCGGAGAACCCCGUGAUGGAAAUGCAACUUGUAUAGCUUCUUUGGGCGACAACAACGCCGUUACUGCUACAUCAAACUCGGGCAGUAAUAAAUUCCUUAAUAUAAAGGAUGAAAAUCAUGACAUGACUGUGUCAACGAAUAAUUCAUUCAACAAGAAACACAUUUACCAACUAGGUUCUUCUGAGACUAUAAACAACUGUGAUACGGUACAAGAGCGUCAAGAACGGCGUCAACGACAAAUAAGACGACAGGUUGACUGGCAGUGGUUAAAUGCUUGUCUUGGUGUUGUGGAAAAUAACUAUAGCGCUGUAGAGGCGUAUUUGUCUUGCGGCGGUAAUCCUGCUCGUGCUUUAACGGCGACUGAAAUCGCAAUCUUAAAUCGUAACUCAGCGUUUGAUGUCGGUCAUACGCUUAUACAUCUAGCAAUACGUUUUCAUCGUGAAGAAAUGUUACCCAUGUUACUUGCACAGAUCUCCGGCUCUGGGCCUGGCAUAAAGCGAGUACCUUCCUAUGUUGCACCAGAUUUAGCUGCAGAUAUACGAAGGCAUUUUGCUAAUACGUUGCGUAUGCGUAAGACUUCCUUCAAUUGUUUGUAUGUGCAAGAACAUGCUACAUUUGCUUUACCAGCUGAAAUAGAAGAGUUGCCAAUUCAGAUACAAGAACAACUGUAUGACGAACUGUUAGAUCGUGAUGCACAAAAGCAACUGGAAAAUCCACCACCUGCACUGAAUUGGUCUUUGGAAAUCACAGCUCGUUUGGGUUCGCGCUUAUUGGUGUUGUGGAAUCGUAGCGCUGGCGAUUGUCUGCUAGACUCGGCAAUGCAAGCCACUUGGGGUGUAUUUGAUCGUGAUAAUACACUGCGUCGAGCCUUAGCAGACACUUUACAUCAAUGUGGUCCCAUUUUUUAUCCACGUUGGAAAGAGUACGAAAAAUGGCAGGCUUCAAUGUUGCACUUUACACUUGAAGAUGCCCAAUGGCAGGACGAUUGGAGUAACUUGCUAACGUUAGCCAGUCAACCGGGCUCGUCGCUGGAACAGUUGCAUAUAUUUGCUUUAGCUCAUAUACUGCGUCGACCAAUAAUCGUUUACGGUGUAAAAUAUGUAAAAAGUUUUCGUGGUGAAGAUAUUGGCUACGCGAGGUUUGAAGGUCUGUACUUGCCUUUAUUUUGGGACCAAAAUUUCUGCAUAAAAUCACCUAUUGCGCUCGGUUAUACACGUGGUCACUUCAGUGCUUUAGUGCCCAUGGAACCAUUUGCACGUAUCGAUCCACGUCGUGAAGAGCCAGAGGAUGUGCGAUAUCUGCCGUUGAUGGAUUGUGAAUCAAAACUUUUGCCUAUACACUUCUUAACUCAGGCUGAGAUGGGUCGCGAAGAGGCUAUAAUGAGACAAUGGCUUGAUGUAUGCGUUACAGAUGGUGGCUUAUUGGUUGCACAGCAAAAACUGCGAAAACGACCGCUAUUGGUCGCACAAAUGUUGGAGGAAUGGCUGAAUCACUAUCGAAGAAUCGCUCAAGUCAUAACGGCGCCUUUUGUUGGAAGGCCGCAACAAACCGGCUACUCUAGCGAGGGUGAUUCCGAUGAAGAAUAGGCACGAGCACAAACUGGUUGCAGUUCUUCGAAUUGGGGGCAGCUUCCUCGACGGUAACAUUGAGCCACAUGUAAUGGACAUGGAAUAAAGUGUUAAAGGACUAAAAAUAUACAAUGGAGGAAAACGAAACAUAAGGACAUUAAAGAACUUUAUGUUUAAAAAGAGUACCACACCCAAUGGCAGGUGUGUAAUAAGAAAUAAAUAAAGUUUAAAAUUGUAUGUAAUAAAAACAAUAGUCAAAAGACAAAGCGGAUAUGGGUUUUAAAAAACAACAAUAACUAUAGCGUCUCACUAAAAUAUGUGCUACUUAAAAUAUUGUCUAAAGAAAAUGUCAACGAUUCACUGACAUUGAACUGCAAAUAUACAUACAUACAUGGAUACGUUGAGUCUCAAGUAAAUCAAAUAAAAAGGAAAUAAAUUCAAAUUAAAAUAAAUUUAAU